AAUGGCUCCGAGGCGGCGCAGCUGCUGGAGGCUGCGGACUUCGCGGCUCGCAAGCACCGGCAGCAGCGGCGGAAGGACCCCGAGGGGACCCCCUACAUCAACCACCCCAUCGGUGUGGCUCGGAUCCUGACCCAUGAGGCGGGAAUCACUGACAUUGUGGUGUUACAGGCAGCCCUGCUCCAUGACACGGUGGAGGACACAGACACCACCCUGGAUGAGGUGGAGCUACACUUUGGGGCACAGGUGCGGUGCCUGGUGGAGGAGGUAACAGAUGACAAGACUCUGCCCAAGCUCGAGAGAAAGCGGCUGCAGGUGGAGCAGGCGCCCCACAGCAGCCCUGGGGCCAAACUGGUGAAGCUGGCAGACAAGCUGCACAAUCUGAGGGACCUGAAUCGCUGCACCCCAGAGGGAUGGUCAGAACAUCGAGUCCAGGAAUACUUCCAGUGGGCCGCGCAGGUGGUGAAGGGGCUUCAGGGAACAAACCAGCAGCUGGAAGAGGCUCUAAAACGUCUGUUCCAGGAGCGGGGACUGACACUCUGAGCAGUGCUUGGAGCUCUCCAGCAGCACAACUCCAGCCUCGUCCGGGCCGGACAGGAUUCACACACCUUUUCUGUGCCUCCCGUGCUCCCUCCAUCCUUCCCAGAUAUCAGAGGCCAAAAAAGACUUGCCUUUUUUCUCAAUCUGAAGGUCUCCUGCUAACUAAGCUGAGCCCCCUGAGUGUGGGGAUCAGAUGUACCCAUCCAUUUCUGAUGCACUCACUGCCUCUCCCCGAGUCUUGGGUCUAUUUGCUAUUUUGCAUGGUGGGAUCUCUGGCCCCUCAGGAACUUGAGAUUAUAUAAGUACUAGUUCCUAAGUCAUUAUGAACAAUAAAAAGAACUCUGGGUAAA
Sapajus apella (tufted capuchin) is the source of this 887-nucleotide RNA transcript. It is a transcript of the gene named guanosine-3',5'-bis(diphosphate) 3'-pyrophosphohydrolase MESH1 pseudogene, with no coding region annotated. Lineage: Eukaryota; Metazoa; Chordata; Mammalia; Primates; Cebidae. The record is from RefSeq and is a predicted model, not a curated record. The transcript has a single exon.